Ictalurus punctatus (channel catfish) is the source of this 1014-nucleotide long non-coding RNA. Lineage: Eukaryota; Metazoa; Chordata; Actinopteri; Siluriformes; Ictaluridae. The record is from Ensembl.
CCCUCUCCUGCUGCUUAAGUAUUUACAACUAUCUGUCUAUCUAUCUAUCUAUUUAUUCAUUUAUUUAUUUUUCUAUAAAUAAAUCGACUCGAGUUCUUUCUAAUUUUGGUGGGAAAAAAACACUAGCUGGCCAGCGCCCAGAGUACGCUUCCUAGAAAGAAGACUGAAAAGGGAAAUGGAGUGUGCGCAUGCGCACUGCCCAAUCAGAGCAUGCGGCAGGAGCAUUUAUCAGUUCCCGACAUUCCAGAAGGUCUUCCGUUGUUUUUGUGGAUUAAUCGGAUUUUAUUCUUCACCAUGCGCGCGAUCAUGAAGCUCCUCAUCUGCUGUGUGUUCAUGCUGUUCCUGGUGAACGUAGUUCCAGCUGCAGGUUCUACCACAGAACUCCUGUCAUGCUGCUUUCAGCAGCUUGGUAAUAGAUCAGUGGUGUACAUACUGAACAACACCGUGGAGUCCGAUUUCACACAGUGGACCAGAAACAAGACACCCAUUAAGGAUGAACAUGGCAAUGUGGACAAGAGCAUUGUCAUAGGCUAUGGUCAGAACUGGAUCACUCUAAAUCAGAGUUACUUAGACAUUGUAUUCUACUUUCAGACAUAUGAUAUGAUGAAAAAUCAAGAAGUUCAAUGUACAGAUUUGUGUGAACCGGGAUCAGCUAACCUUCCGAUUGGAGAGAAGCAUGAGACAAAUCAGCGUGAUGGAGGUGACGGAGGUUUGUAUCACACGCAGAUAAACUUUGUUAUUUCUUGCAGCAGAUUGUUUUAGGAAUAGACAUAUGGUAUAUUUACAAAAAUUAUAUUUGUUGCCAGCGGUUUAGACAUUAAUGGCUGUGUGUUGAGUUAUUUUAAGGGGACAGCAAAUUUACACUGUUCCACAAGCUGUACACUCACUACUUUACAUUGUAGCAAAGUGUCAUGUCUUCAGUGUUGUCACAUGAAAAGAUAUUAUCAAAUAUUUAUAAAAAUGUGAGGGGUGUACUCACUUUUGAGAUAUACUGUGUGUGUGUGUGUAUAUAUA